Molecule: ribosomal RNA, 500 nt
Filed under: uncultured bacterium
Lineage: Bacteria
Description: partial 16S ribosomal RNA
Rfam family: Bacterial small subunit ribosomal RNA
Source: RNAcentral
AUUGAACGCUGGCGGCAUGCUUUACACAUGCAAGUCGAACGGCAGCACGGACUUCGGUCUGGUGGCGAGUGGCGAACGGGUGAGUAAUACAUCGGAACGUGCCCAGUUGUGGGGGAUAACUACUCGAAAGAGUAGCUAAUACCGCAUGAGAACUGAGGUUGAAAGCAGGGGAUCGUAAGACCUUGCGCAACUGGAGCGGCCGAUGGCAGAUUAGGUAGUUGGUGGGAUAAAAGCUUACCAAGCCGACGAUCUGUAGCUGGUCUGAGAGGACGACCAGCCACACUGGGACUGAGACACGGCCCAGACUCCUACGGGAGGCAGCAGUGGGGAACUUUGGACAAUGGGCGAAAGCCUGAUCCAGCAAUGCAGCGUGCAGGAUGAAGGCCUUCGGGUUGUAAACUGCUUUUGUACGGAACGAAAAGCUUCGGGUUAAUACCCUGGAGUCAUGACGGUACCGUAAGAAUAAGCACCGGCUAACUACGUGCCAGCCGCCGCAGUAA